UACAGAGACUGCAAGCGUUAUUCGGAUUCACUGGGCGUAAAGGGUGCGCAGGCGGUGGUGUGUGUCAGGUGUGAAAUCUCGGAGCUUAACUCCGAAACUGCGCCUGAAACUACAUCACUAGAGCAUUGGAGAGGGUAGCGGAAUUCACGGUGUAGCAGUGAAAUGCGUAGAUAUCGUGAGGAACACCAGAGGCGAAGGCGGCUACCUGGACAAUUGCUGACGCUCAGGCACGAAAGCGUGGGGAGCAAACAGG
RNAcentral lists this unclassified non-coding RNA (253 nucleotides) under uncultured Verrucomicrobiota bacterium. RNAcentral describes it as "uncultured Verrucomicrobia bacterium contains 16S-23S intergenic spacer region". It matches the Rfam family "Bacterial small subunit ribosomal RNA", at positions 524 to 776 of the family's 1533-position model. Lineage: Bacteria; Pseudomonadati; Verrucomicrobiota. The record is from RNAcentral.